AUCGUUCAUCUCUGUGUGGACUCAGGUUGUUGACCGAGGGGCAAUAGAGACGGAAGUAGGGAAUGUAGCCCGAAGGAACGCGCC
RNAcentral lists this non-coding RNA (84 nucleotides) under Oscillatoria sp. RNAcentral describes it as "Glutamine-I sequence". It matches the Rfam family "Glutamine riboswitch aptamer (glnA leader)". RNAcentral also lists the same sequence under 1 other name. The record is from RNAcentral. Lineage: Bacteria; Bacillati; Cyanobacteriota; Cyanophyceae; Oscillatoriales; Oscillatoriaceae.